Molecule: microRNA precursor, 85 nt
Filed under: Podarcis lilfordi (Lilford's wall lizard)
Lineage: Eukaryota; Metazoa; Chordata; Lepidosauria; Squamata; Lacertidae
Source: RNAcentral
AGCUGUUUUGGGACUACAAUUCCCAUCAUCCCUGACCACUGGUCAGUUAGCUAGGGAUGAUGGGAGUUGUAAUCCCAAAACAGCU